Molecule: ribosomal RNA, 220 nt
Filed under: Theileria mutans
Lineage: Eukaryota; Apicomplexa; Aconoidasida; Piroplasmida; Theileriidae
Description: partial 18S ribosomal RNA
Rfam family: Eukaryotic small subunit ribosomal RNA
Source: RNAcentral
GACACAGGGAGGUAGUGACAAGAAAUAACAAUACGGGGCUCAACGCCUUGUAAUUGGAAUGAUGGGAACCUAAACCCCUUCCAGAGUAUCAAUUGGAGGGCAAGUCUGGUGCCAGCAGCCGCGGUAAUUCCAGCUCCAAUAGCGUAUAUUAAAAUUGUUGCAGUUAAAAAGCUCGUAGUUGAAUUUCUGCCGCAUCGCGGCGGCCCUCCCGGGCCCAGCG